This 253-nucleotide ribosomal RNA is filed under the name uncultured bacterium. RNAcentral describes it as "partial 16S ribosomal RNA". It matches the Rfam family "Bacterial small subunit ribosomal RNA", at positions 524 to 776 of the family's 1533-position model. The record is from RNAcentral.
UACGGGGGGGGCAAGCGUUGUCCGGAAUCAUUGGGCGUAAAGGGUGCGUAGGCGGAAUGGUAAGUCAGGAGUGAAAGACUCGCGCUUAACGCGGGUUCUGCUUUUGAUACUGUCAUUCUUGAGUGCGGAAGAGGGAAGCGGAAUUCCCGGUGUAGCGGUGAAAUGCGUAGAUAUCGGGAAGAACACCGGUAGCGAAAGCGGCUUCCUAGUCCGUAACUGACGCUGAGGCACGAAAGCGUGGGUAGCAAACAGG